AAAAAAAUGCAAAAAUAAAAAUAAAAAGAAAGAGAAGGGAACGAACUCCCCUUGGGUUGCCUUCUAAGCAGCGCCUUUGUUUAUUGUUGUUGGCUCGACCCAGUAUUGCCUUCUUCAGCCUGCAUCCAACUAGGGCAUUUGCAAUCUUCUUUGCAUUGCACCAAUCUCAUUAGAGAUAAGCACCAGUGAUGUUCCAUAAUCCUGCAAAUUAUCAAAAAUAGUACAAAUAUCAGCAUACUCCCCAUCAUCAUA
Molecule: long non-coding RNA, 252 nt
Filed under: Olea europaea (common olive)
Lineage: Eukaryota; Viridiplantae; Streptophyta; Magnoliopsida; Lamiales; Oleaceae
Description: long non-coding RNA (OEUR_LNC004986)
Source: RNAcentral